Long non-coding RNA from Sapajus apella (tufted capuchin), 503 nucleotides. RefSeq lists it as uncharacterized. The transcript is spliced from 3 exons. Lineage: Eukaryota; Metazoa; Chordata; Mammalia; Primates; Cebidae. The record is from RefSeq and is a predicted model, not a curated record.
ACAAUUCACAACAUGCUUAGACUUUCUGUUUUGCCUAAAUAUUCUCUUUCUUGAACAACCCGGUCAUUUUAUUUUAGGACAAAAAAUUUAUCACACAAAAUUGCUUCUUAUAUAAAAUUGCUGUUUUUCACCUUUAUCAAAAAUACCUCUUUAUGUCUUUAACUUUCUUCUCUUAUUUCCUGGUUCCUAUUACCUCAUUAUAUACAUAACUUUUAUAGAAGCUUUGAAUUAGACAAAGAUAUUUACCUUCUAAUAAGAACAUUUUAAAAAUGUUUUCCUACAUUUUUUGGGUUGGAAAUUACCCAACUACUUAAUAUCUAUUAAUAACCUUAGAUACCAAGUCAUAUGACAAGUCUGUUUACAACCAUUUAUUCCAUUACAUUUACAAGAUAAUUUAAUAUUUUAUCUAGAUUAUGAAAACUGUGAUAGUCAUUAUUUAAGUAAAUUCCCUGUUAACCAUUUUUGUAGCUAUGAAUUUCAGGUGUUUAAUUCAGUAAAGUAUU